Molecule: ribosomal RNA, 394 nt
Filed under: Haliclona cf. caerulea Caribbean StT 13
Lineage: Eukaryota; Metazoa; Porifera; Demospongiae; Haplosclerida; Chalinidae
Also listed under: 2 other names
Description: SSU rRNA
Rfam family: Eukaryotic small subunit ribosomal RNA
Source: RNAcentral
UCAUUAAAUCAGUUAUAGUUUAUUUGAUGGUUCUUUACUACUUGGAUAACCGUGGUAAUUCUAGAGCUAAUACAUGCACAAAGUCCCGACUGUUCGGAAGGGAUGUAUUUAUUAGAUCCAAAACCAAUGCGAGUCUCUCGGGGCUCGGUUUCUUGGUGAUUCAUGAUAACUGCUCGAACCGUAUGGCCCUUGCGCCGACGGUGCUUCAUUCAAAUUUCUGCCCUAUCAACUUUCGAUGGUACGGUAGUGGCCUACCAUGGUUGCAACGGGUGACGGAGAAUUAGGGUUCGAUUCCGGAGAGGGAGCCUGAGAAACGGCUACCACAUCCAAGGAAGGCAGCAGGCGCGCAAAUUACCCAAUCCCGACUCGGGGAGGUAGUGACAAUAAAUAACAA